UACGUAGGGGGCUAGCGUUGUCCGGAAUCAUUGGGCGUAAAGAGCGUGUAGGCGGCCCGGUAAGUCCGCUGUGAAAGUCGGGGGCUCAACCCUCGAAUGCCGGUGGAUACUGUCGGGCUAGAGUGCGGGAGAGGCGAGUGGAAUUCCUGGUGUAGCGGUGAAAUGCGCAGAUAUCAGGAGGAACACCGAUGGCGAAGGCAGGUCUCUGGGCUGACACUGACGCUCAUGCACGAAAGCGUGGGGAGCAAACAGG
RNAcentral lists this ribosomal RNA (253 nucleotides) under uncultured bacterium. RNAcentral's name for it is "partial 16S ribosomal RNA". It matches the Rfam family "Bacterial small subunit ribosomal RNA", at positions 524 to 776 of the family's 1533-position model. The record is from RNAcentral.